CUCGUGUCAGGUCACCCGUAUGUAUCUUCAUCAGGUGAUCUAUCCACAAACGUGGAUUUGUCUCGAACAUCUAGGGCCCCAUAUGGACGUCCGGCCCGUCAGGUAAUCUGUACGCGAACGCCCACUGAUCUCCAACAUAAUGUAAUUUUUGUUUUACUUCCACCGUAUUAUCUUAGAUCUUUUACUAAUCUUAUAUCAUGGAUCUUUCUUAUUCUUCGAAUAUGUGCCUGCAACUGAAACUGAGAACUCUUUUGUUUUACCUCAAACUGAAUAAUCUUUGUGCAGGCCCAUUAGGUGGUGCAGCGAGCAAUCAAAUAUUUACGAUCUCUCGACUGAGUUCAUGGAAAUUAGAUAUUAUAUAUGUUUCCUGGUAUUUGACCAACAAAAGGCGGUAUACCGAGUACACAGUCAUAGUAUUAUCUGAACUCUGUUGAUGAGGUUCCAAAGUGGAUGACAAGUAGAUGGAGCCAGUGCAACUCUGACAUAUUACCAUGUUGAAACUGCAUAUGUGGAUUUUCAGGAUUCUCUGUUCUCAAAUAUACUGGAUUUUCGCAACCUUUUUCUAUUUUACAAAGGUAAAAACAAUUUUAAUUUAUUUUAUACUGUUAAGUUAUAUAUGCUGGAAGAUGAAGAUGUAUGUUGUUCUGACCUUCACAUUAUUUUGUGUUGUAGGCUCUGUAGCUCUCUCAUGCAUGUGGCUUAUUGAUACAUUAUGAUGGAAAUCGAAGCAUUCUGAUUAUAAUUAUUCAUUCAUUUGAAUUGUUAUUUGUGACCAAGGCGACAUAUUUACCUUUUUGAUCAAUAUACAGUGUACUCCACUCCAACUUUAUCG
RNAcentral lists this long non-coding RNA (832 nucleotides) under Triticum aestivum (bread wheat). RNAcentral describes it as "long non-coding RNA (TAES_LNC021777)". The record is from RNAcentral. Lineage: Eukaryota; Viridiplantae; Streptophyta; Magnoliopsida; Poales; Poaceae.